CUUACGGGUUGGGCUACACACGUGCUACAAUGGUGGUGACAGUGGGUUAAUCCCCAAAAGCCAUCUCAGUUCGGAUUGGGGUCUGCAACUCGACCCCAUGAAGUUGGAAUCGCUAGUAAUCGCGUAACAGCACGACGCGGUGAAUACGUUCCCGGGCCUUGUACACACCGCCCGUCACACCAUGGGAGUUGGGUCUACCCGACGGCCGUGCGCUAACCCUUACGGGAGGCAGCGGACCACGGUAGGCUCAGCGACUGGGGUGAAGUCGUAACAAGGUAGCCGUAGGGGAACCUGCGGCUGGAUCACCUCCUU
Molecule: ribosomal RNA, 312 nt
Filed under: uncultured eukaryote
Lineage: Eukaryota
Description: partial Bacterial small subunit ribosomal RNA
Rfam family: Bacterial small subunit ribosomal RNA
Source: RNAcentral